GUAGGCUCAAGAUCAUCAUUUUGCUCGAAUUUAACUUCAUAAUCCAAGGAGUUCGAACGAUUUCUUGAAUUCGAUGCAGGAGCAACGUCUUCCCUACGGCUUUAGCGCCUUCAGAUAAGUUUAAUUUCCAUGGCGCCUAGUGGAAUGUUCUAUGUUUUUUAGUUUAGAAUUUCAUUGAAGGUCUGGUUUUAAAUCUUGAAUUGGCUUGGGGAAACUGAAUGAAUUGGGGGGUAGUUACAAAUCUGAAUCUGCUUUUAAGCUGGGAUUACGUGUUCUUCAUAUGAGUGAAUAUGAAUUUAUUACCAUUUUAAGAAAAUACAUCGUCUUAUCUCUGGAGUAAAAUUAGGUUAUAUUGUUGUUUGAGCAAUAAAAUUAAGAAAGCUUUGUUGUAGAUUCAAUCCUUACUCAAAAUGGCACCUACAGGUCACAAGCUUGAAUGCUUCACAAUGUCUGAAGUAGUUGAAAGAUGACAACCUUGGAAUAUCAAACAUCCCGAACAGAAAUGUCAAAAUCGAAAGAGCGAGUGCAGGAAAACGUAGAGGGAAAGAUAUAAUGAAAAUCACACUUUUUAUAAGUUUAUUGUCAUCUGAAGUAUUACACUCUGCUGUACACACGGUUGUUCUUUCUCGGGAACUGCAAAUAAAAGGAAAACUAAAUUGCAGACCACCUAACUGCUCCCCUGAAAAAAAUUG
Long non-coding RNA from Cucurbita maxima (winter squash), 692 nucleotides. RefSeq lists it as uncharacterized. The record is from RefSeq and is a predicted model, not a curated record. The transcript has 2 exons. NCBI's taxonomy places the organism in Eukaryota, Viridiplantae, Streptophyta, Magnoliopsida, Cucurbitales, Cucurbitaceae.